AUGGACACGUCCAUCUUGUCCUCUUGGUUAGCCCUUGACACGUCCUCUUGGUUAGCCCUUGACACGUCCAUCUUGUCCUCUUGGUUAGCCCUUGACACGUCCUCUUGGUUAGCCCUUGACACGUCCAUCUUGUCCUCUUGGUUAGCCCUUGACACGUCCAUCUUGUCCUCUUGGUUAGCCCUUGACACGUCCUCUUGGUUAGCCCUUGACACGUCCUCUUGGUUAGCCCUUGACACGUCCUCUUGGUUAGCCCUUGACACGUCCUCUUGGUUAGCCCUUGACACGUCCUCUUGGUUAGCCCUUGACACGUCCUCUUGGUUAGCCCUUGACACGUCCUCUUGGUUAGCCCUUGACACGUCCAUCUUGUCCUCUUGGUUAGCCCUUGACACGUCCAUCUUGUCCUCUUGGUUAGCCCUUGACACGUCCUCUUGGUUAGCCCUUGACACGUCCUCUUGGUUAGCCCUUGACACGUCCUCUUGGUUAGCCCUUGACACGUCCUCUUGGUUAGCCCUUGACACGUCCAUCUUGUCCUCUUGGUUAGCCCUUGACACGUCCAUCUUGUCCUCUUGGUUAGCCCUUGACACGUCCUCUUGGUUAGCCCUUGACACGUCCUCUUGGUUAGCCCUUGACACGUCCAUCUUGUCCUCUUGGUUAGCCCUUGACACGUCCAUCUUGUCCUCUUGGUUAGCCCUUGACACGUCCUCUUGGUUAGCCCUUGACACGUCCAUUUUGUCCUCUUGGUUAGCCCUUGACACGUCCAUCUUGUCCUCUUGGUUAGCCCUUGACACGUCCUCUUGGUUAGCCCUUGACACGUCCAUUUUGUCCUCUUGGUUAGCCCUUGACACGUCCAUCUUGUCCUCUUGGUUAGCCCUUGACACGUCCAUCUUGUCCUCUUGGUUAGCCCUUGGUGUUGCCAGUCUGACAUGGUGCAGUAGGCAGUGUAACUGUUCUAACCUUCGACCUGUAUGUCUUUAUUACUAUGAGAAGAGCAGACUAGAAUGGUCGUACUCUUAACGACAACUAUGUAAGCGUGUUGUACGGUCAUGUUAUAUGGUCAUUGAGCCUGGUUCAGUUUGGCGUUGAGCAUUCCAUUGGGUUUGAGCAUGUUAUGUCAUGGUCACGUUACGGUCAUCAUGGUCACGUUACGGUCUUUGAAUAAGUCCUAGAUUCUGGUUCAUUGGGUCGGAGUGAGUUUGACUGUGCUUGAACAUUCAGGGGUAGCAUGGACUGACUGGUUUUGGCAUGCAGACCGGAUAUGAACUCCCAUCGGCCUCUUUAAGCCAAUCAAUAUAUUACAACAAUGUUCUCUGAAUUGCUCCUACGACUCAUCGAUAAAACGGAAACUGGCUUGGACUUUCCCGGUCGGUCUUCGACAGGUAGUUGGAGUUAAGGUGGCACAGCCUCGGCCUCCCACAGCCUCGGCCUCCCGGCUCAGAGCUCCAUGUAGUAACGUAAAGUUGCAGCCUCUAAAAACUGAUGUCCAAUGUGUACUGACGAGUUAGUGAACGCUUACUGUCUGCAGAACACGGCUACCAACCAGUCUAUAGCAUUAAUGUCUAGAAGAGCGAUGCGAGGGCUGAGAGCAGGUUUAACAGAAAGUAUCUGUUUGUAGAUGUGAUUCUUUAGGGUAGUAGAUACAGCAGUCGUCUUAGCACUAACGUUAAGGUGUUGUCUUUUUGGUAGAGCCUUUUACAGAUGUGGUUUGGCCAAGCCUGCGAUGCAAGACUCAACCAGACUGGAUUGUGUGCCAGCUCUCAUUUCAUGCUCAUUCAGUUUGGUAUGAUGAAUUUGAGGAUCUGGUAGGCCUAAGUAAUCGCUGGUAGCAAGGGAGGGAACAGUAGUGUGUGGGGUCAGGGUCGGGGACGGGGACGGGGACGGGAAGGUCUGUGUGCGUGACAUUCCUGCUCCCUGAGCACAGGUAGGCUUUUCUCUCAAAUCUCACAAGUCCUUCUGUGAAUGAAACGAUUGUUUGCAACUCUCCACAGAGAGACUCGGUCACACAGACUUGCUAAAUUGGACAUUUCAUGCUAUAACAGCCCUUUUUGAUUGGUUCUGAAUGUGCUUUUCCUACCAAGAAUUCUUGAUAUUCUACUGAUUUUAAUAUAUUAAUUGAAAAUAUACUGUGGUAAUAUUGUGUUCGGUCCAUCGAUGGAUAUGAGGGAGGGGUUUGGGAAAUGAGGGUGGGACAACACGUGGGGGUGGAGUUAGCGGCUGGCUUUGUUUGGGCUCGUACUCAUGAAUAUGAUAAUGAUGGAACUGCUCAAAUCUUUUAUUUGUUUUUGUUUUUUCUGUGUAAUUUGCACACUUCUUUGUGGCUCUCCCAUGGCUUAAUAAUGGAACACGGGUUCUUUAAUAACGAGCGCCAUGCAGGUCCCCUCCUGAUCCUCACUUUUUUUCACUUUUUCGCUUGUCUACUUUGGUGCUCUCUGUCUCACUGCUGAGUUUGAUCAUGAUGUUUUUUUUAUGUACAUAUUAUAAAUAUAAAUAUAUAUAAUAAAAUGAAUACAAAAGAUCAAUGUCAACAUGGGUAAACUGUCCCUCAUUCCCCUCCUCCCAUGUAAUGUGUAUCAGUACACCAGUGUUGUCAGCUAUAUGAAGGUCUGUGUUUAUACGUACAAGUCAAUGUCAACCGUGUGUGUGUCUGCAGGAGGGUACUCUGCUGGAGGUGCCGCAAGAGGUCACUUUCUUCCCUGAAUCACCACCGGAGGGCAGGAACAGAUCCUGUAUCUGCCUGGCAGCCUGCCUAUCAGCUCUACUUUGUCCUUGAUUUGACACACACACACACACACAUAAACAAAUGUUGAGAGUGAAGAAGGCCCAGACAGCUGCUCAUCUAAUGGUGUACUCUUUUACUCUGCAUGAGAGGGAAGUAAUGUGUUCAGUAUGGAGCUGCUUCAAAUAGAAUCAUUCACAAUGAGUAUUGCUUGGGAGAAAGAGUAUGCUGUGGGCAGGGAAAUGACAGCUCUAAUAUAAAGUACUCUAAUAUAGUCUUAGGACUGCUGCUGCAGACUGCUCAUUGCUGUAGGAAGACCCUCUCAGCAAAAAAACAUACCAGCUAAUUCCAUUCUAGCACUUUUUGGAUUACAUAUUAAACAAUGAAGCUACUUUUAGCAUGGCAAUCUGAAAGUCACCACAAUGAAGAAUUGCAGUCAUGUGUGUACUGAAAUUCAUAUUUGGAUUUUGAAUUCAAUGAGGUUUUGUGAUACAUGCCAAAUACAUCAUUAUUUUCAGUCAUCUGCCAGACAAUGGUAUAGACACGUAUCCUUAAGUAGCGGUCAGGCUAUAUAUGCACUGAUCUGAGAGUGUGAUACGGUCAUUGAACAGGGCCUGUAUUCAUAAAGUGUCUGGACUGCUGAGUGCAUUUUAGAUCACAGUAAAUAAGAUUACAUGGGCAGGGGGGGGGGGGAUCUGAACCAAGAUCAGCUCUCCAGGACCCUGACCUAUGUGGAAUCUCUCAUGACUAAACUGACCCAUUGUCCUUCCUUCAUCUCUCCCUCCCUCCCUCCUGUCGUUGUGGCAGGGCGCUGCUGACCUUGAGUGAGUUAUUUAUAGUGUGGUGACGCCGCAGACAGGGGGCAGGGUACCAGACACUACUCAGUGGGAGACCGAACAGACAGAGAGAG
Oncorhynchus mykiss (rainbow trout) is the source of this 3623-nucleotide long non-coding RNA. Lineage: Eukaryota; Metazoa; Chordata; Actinopteri; Salmoniformes; Salmonidae. The record is from Ensembl.